UAUUAUAAGUAAGUGAUGAAUAAGUGUGUAGGUGAGUGUCUCACCACAAAAUUAAAAAAAAAAAGACAAAAAGGAAGACGAAAAGUUGAAGUUUUGAAAAAAAAAUGAAAAAAAGGAGAAAAAAAGAGAAAAAAUCUUCCUAAAAAUAGAACAAGAAAUAAAUUUGUUUUGGAAAUCAAGUGUCAUUACUCUUUCUAUAGCAACUCAUAAAUAAAACAUUCCUACCUUUGGCUUGGUCUCG
Molecule: long non-coding RNA, 241 nt
Filed under: Vigna radiata
Lineage: Eukaryota; Viridiplantae; Streptophyta; Magnoliopsida; Fabales; Fabaceae
Description: long non-coding RNA (VRAD_LNC014905)
Source: RNAcentral